RNAcentral lists this ribosomal RNA (497 nucleotides) under uncultured bacterium. RNAcentral describes it as "partial 16S ribosomal RNA". It matches the Rfam family "Bacterial small subunit ribosomal RNA", at positions 28 to 507 of the family's 1533-position model. The record is from RNAcentral.
GAUGAACGCUGGCGGCGUGCCUAAUACAUGCAAGUCGAGCGAACAGACGAGGAGCUUGCUCCUCUGACGUUAGCGGCGGACGGGUGAGUAACACGUGGAUAACCUACCUAUAAGACUGGGAUAACUUCGGGAAACCGGAGCUAAUACCGGAUAAUAUAUUGAACCGCAUGGUUCAAUAGUGAAAGACGGUUUUGCUGUCACUUAUAGAUGGAUCCGCGCCGCAUUAGCUAGUUGGUAAGGUAACAGCUUACCAAGGCAACGAUGCGUAGCCGACCUGAGAGGGUGAUCGGCCACACUGGAACUGAGACACGGUCCAGACUCCUACGGGAGGCAGCAGUAGGGAAUCCUCCGCAAUGGGCGAAAGCCUGACGGAGCAACGCCGCGUGAGUGAUGAAGGUCUUCGGAUCGUAAAACUCUGUUAUUAGGGAAGAACAAAUGUGUAAGUAACUAUGCACGUCUUGACGGUACCUAAUCAGAAAGCCACGGCUAACUACGUG